GUUUCUCUUUUUUGUUUCUCAUGGUGUCAGAAGAGUUUUGGUAAAAAACGAGUUGUAGGUUGUGGCAGAAGGGAAGGAACGCCGCCUCGGCAGACUGCCGCUUCGACGUUCCGCCCCAACACCGAAAAAAAAAUGUUCACAAAGGUGGAUUACUAUGCAUCGGCCGCCACAAGAGUCGAGACUCGCGCAGCGGCUUCAGCAAGUAGAAUUUGUAAUGAUCCAACCGCAGGUUCACCUACGGUUA
Molecule: unclassified non-coding RNA, 244 nt
Filed under: uncultured fungus
Lineage: Eukaryota; Fungi
Description: sequence contains ITS1
Source: RNAcentral